UACGUAGGGGGCAAGCGUUGUCCGGAAUCAUUGGGCGUAAAGCGCGUGUAGGCGGCCCGGUAAGUCCGCCGUGAAAGUCCAGGGCUCAACCCUGGAAUGCCGGUGGAAACUGCCGGGCUGGAGUCCGGAAGAGGCGAGUGGAAUUCCUGGUGUAGCGGUGAAAUGCGCAGAUAUCAGGAGGAACACCAAUGGCGAAGGCAGCUCGCUGGGACGGUACUGACGCUGAGACGCGAAAGCCAGGGGAGCGAACGGG
This 253-nucleotide ribosomal RNA is filed under the name uncultured bacterium. RNAcentral describes it as "partial 16S ribosomal RNA". It matches the Rfam family "Bacterial small subunit ribosomal RNA", at positions 524 to 776 of the family's 1533-position model. The record is from RNAcentral.